AGUAUUUUUUUAAUGUGUUACAUAUUUUAUACCUACUAGGAAUCAUACUUCAUUUUUGAAACCUUCCUUUUGUUCUUAAUAUAUCAUGAACAUAUUUCCAUAGGCUAAUUAUACUUGGAGAACAUGAUGUUGAUCACUGUAUAAUAAAUAUUUCAUCAUAAAGGUGUCUUAUAAUUUAAGAAUUUUCCUACAGUUAGAUGGUUACACUGGUUCCAAUUUUCACUGCAAUGAACACUCAUUUUCAACAGCAUCUUUGCAUAUCUCUUAUGUAAUAUAAAUUUUUCAAAGUACAAUUUCUGUUUCAAAAAUAUAAAACUUAAAAUAAUUACUCAAGUUUAUUAUCAUAUUGCUGUCCAAUUGUUACUAUAAGGAAAAAAGGAGCUAAAGAAUAGAGUGGUUUCUGUAGCCCAGAACUGAAGAGCGUGCUGCAGCUUGAAAUGGCUCGUGCCUUUUGCAGAGACACAGUCUUGCUGGCGGGGAGAAACUCAUGGGGUAUCUUGAUCUCUUGAUGCCUACUUCUCCCGGCAAUGAGAGUCCAAAUGAAAGAGAGAGGGCAACGGAAGCCUUUCAUGCAGUCAUGGACCAGCCUCCUGGCCAUUAAAUGGAGAUUGCAUCAUUUUUAUAUACUUGUCAAUUGGGUAAAUAAAAAUUGCUAAAUAUUUUACUAACCACGUUUGUUUGAUUGCUAGUGAUGUUGAACACUUUUCCAAAAUUGUUAUUGGCUAUUUGCAUUUCUCCUUUUUUAAGUUGCUGAUACAGGGUUAAGAAAUCACAUAGGCAAUAGUAAGGGUAUGGGAGUCCUACACAAGGGUUUUUUUUGUUUUUUGUUUUUUGUUUUUUUGAGACGGAGUCUCGCUCUGUUGCCCAGGCUGGAGUGCAGUGAGCCGAGAUCAUGCCACUGCACUCCAGCCUGGGCCGCAGAGUGAGACUCUGUCUCAAAUCAAUCAAUCAAUCAAUAAAAAUAAGACACAUUUGUGGUAGUUCACACGAAAAACAGUGGAGCUAGAAUAUGGUGACAGCAGAGGAGUCAGUGGAGGAGAAAAACUUGGGGAAGCCGGUCCAUCAUUCAGAAUUCGUGAAAUGGAAUGUGAGGUGGGAGGAAGAGCGGAAAUGAGAUGAGGGAAAGAUGCGCAGGUGGGUAUUGUUGCCAUUAACUCAGACCAGAUGGGCUGGGAGGGAAAGAAGAUUGUCGACUCUGAGGUGGAGUAGAGACUGAGUUGUAGUUUUUUGGUUGUUUCUGUUUUCCCUAUGUCUAUCUCCUCCAUUAGUAUAAAGUCUUGAGUGGAGAAAGUAUACUGCUAUGGUAUAGAGUCAGCACUUGAAAAAUACAUGAAAAAAGUAUGUUAUCCAUCUCUCCAAACCCUGUUAGACUCUUCAUUCAAUUUAUGACUUCCCUAACUUCUUGACCCCAUUUAAAUGUUUUCUCUCUCUUUCAUAGAGCUCUUCCCUCUUGGUUCUCUUGGGUAUAACACAGCUGGAAAAUUAUUCGCAUGCAUAAAGUCCGCUUCCAAAUGUCUCACACAAAGGUGAUGGCUCUGUAGAAAAAGUAGGCACCUGCAGUCACAGGAACUGGGAUAGCCAUUCCAUCUUAACUAUCUAAUAUCCUGUGCGAUACUUAACUGCCCUGCAGCUUAGUUAUGUCUAGAGUUUAACACAUUGCUGUGAUAAUUGCUUUAGAUAAUAUCUGGAGUAUAAUACUGUGGCUAAAGCACACCAUGAAUCAGAUAUGGGAGAAAAGAGGAGGGAGAGGUAGAAGCCCC
Molecule: long non-coding RNA, 1760 nt
Organism: Papio anubis (olive baboon)
Lineage: Eukaryota; Metazoa; Chordata; Mammalia; Primates; Cercopithecidae
Source: Ensembl